This 109-nucleotide ribosomal RNA is filed under the name Pteropus alecto (black flying fox). The record is from RNAcentral. Lineage: Eukaryota; Metazoa; Chordata; Mammalia; Chiroptera; Pteropodidae.
CACAGUAGUCAAUAAAUUUGUGAAAAGCCUGAUCUUGGAAGUUAAGCAGGGUCGGGCCUGAUUAGUACUUGGAUGGGAGACCACCUAGGAAGACCAGGUGCUACAGGUG